Molecule: long non-coding RNA, 796 nt
Organism: Triticum dicoccoides
Lineage: Eukaryota; Viridiplantae; Streptophyta; Magnoliopsida; Poales; Poaceae
Exons: 2
Source: RefSeq, a predicted model, not a curated record
GUCAGGUAGGACAGCAGGUAAGGAAACGUAAAGCGUUUGGGCAGGAGGAGCUCGCCCCGGCACCCCAUGUCCGCCGGAUGUAGCCAUGGCGAUACCGGAGCGAGGACACCGGCGUUGGGCGAGCGAUCAGGAGCCGCGGCGUCCGUUAUGGGGGGCGACGGGAUAGCAUACACGGGGGCGACGACGUCUGCCAGAGGCAUGAAGUUCCGGGCGUAGGGAGGACGCCGGAGAGGCGGCCAUCUGGGCAGGAGGAGGUCGCCCCAUCGCCUGACGUUGAGCUGUCGGGUGUGUCCUGCAUGACAUUCAGCUCCGGAGACGGCGCUGGUCGGUGGUAGAAGGCGGGGCUGGCGUACAUUCGUACGCCGCAGUCGGGCCGCGUACCAUCAACGCCUACAGCGUGCCGUGCGCCAUGGAGGCCUGCAUCGCAACGCACACCGUCAACGCCUGCAGCGUGCUUCAGAGUGUGCGCCCCGGUCCUCUGGCGCCGGCGAACACAACUAUCCUCGUCAGUACAGUACUCCGGCGAACACAACUAUCCUCGUCAGUACAGUACUCCAGCAUGAGCAUGAAUAAGCAGAUCAUCAUGGUGUUCCUAGCUACGAUGCGUAUGUCGUUCAUGGAGCGGCCCAUCCCAAGCAUGACGUUGCUCCCACCUCCGGCCGACUUGAUCAGAAGGUUGUGCGUGUUCUGUUUGAAUGAGAUGCUUGUGCGUGUUUGAAUGAGGCCGUUGCAAGCGAUCAAUACUGUCCGGUUGCAUGCUCUUUAAAUACAUCCAGGUUGAAAAGUCUUUACAUUA